CCGAGUCUACAACUCCCAAACCCCUGUGAACAUACCAAUUGUUGCCUCGGCGGAUCAGCCCGCUCCCGGUAAAACGGGACGGCCCGCCAGAGGACCCCUAAACUCUGUUUUUAGUGGAACUUCUGAGUAAAACAAACAAAUAAAUCA
RNAcentral lists this unclassified non-coding RNA (147 nucleotides) under uncultured Ascomycota. RNAcentral's name for it is "sequence contains ITS1". The record is from RNAcentral. Lineage: Eukaryota; Fungi; Ascomycota.